This 364-nucleotide long non-coding RNA is filed under the name Numida meleagris (helmeted guineafowl). RNAcentral's name for it is "lncRNA (ENSNMEG00000008835.1)". Lineage: Eukaryota; Metazoa; Chordata; Aves; Galliformes; Numididae. The record is from RNAcentral.
AUGCACGAAGUCUUGAGCCCUAAAAGCAAGCAGCAACAUCACAGAAUACAGAUUAAGGUUAUUCCACGUUCUACAACCAUGCUGGUCACCUCCCAGAAAAACAAACCUUUGGAGGAUGUACAUCUGGAGAAGCAAUCACAAGGGAUCCCAAAUGAUAAGCAGAGUGAGGACAGCCCCAGGGAUUCCGUCACCCGUGGGUGCAGUGUGCCCACAUUGAGAGCAGGAGUGGGGAAGGUCUCAGCUCCUGCAGCCCAGGACACUGCACUUGCAUGAGCCCCAGCCAGCACAACCUACUUAUUUUACCCUUGUGAAAGUGCUUUAACUUCAGAAUAAAAUAUUGUUUUACCCUCUGCCCCGCUGCUCU